CUCUGAUGAUUUCACCACUCGGUGGUUCCAUAAUGACAGCGAGGAGGCAGAAACCCUAAAUCCUGAAACAUUUUGAGUGGAACCCAGCACGCAGGAACCUGCGAGAUUCUUCCGUUUCGUCGAGGUCCGCAUCGAUUGUAUUGACCUCCCCGUGGGCCAGCUUGUCUCCUUCAUCGAUCAGCCGAACGAAGUCUAGGACAGAACUGUAGACCAAAGGAAAUCGCAGGCGUCUUUGCAAAGCUGGUGGGAAGUAACCCAGCGGCUGCUGGAAAACGAAUGGGUGACCUAAGCCGGUUCCACCCCCUCCCAGGGCGUCGGCAAAAGGAGCUUCUCACCCCACU
RNAcentral lists this long non-coding RNA (341 nucleotides) under Homo sapiens (human). RNAcentral describes it as "non-protein coding lnc-TBX3-1:3". Lineage: Eukaryota; Metazoa; Chordata; Mammalia; Primates; Hominidae. The record is from RNAcentral.